GUUCUCAUGUGAAUGUCCUCUCUGUUUGACAGUAGAAAUUAUGAAUGAAGUUGUUUUCUUGUAAGAAAAUCCAAUAAAAGCUUGAAUGACCAGAAGAGACUAAUCCUUCCACCUGACGGGAUCGGUAGGGUGUGCUGCUACUCUCCAGUGCUGCACAACACGGAGUUCUCAGGAUCUAAAGAGAGAUGCUGCAAGAAUCUCUUCUGCAGUUGGGGUACAGCUGGCUCAGAUCCUCUGAAUACCUGACUCCACAACCCAAGAGGUCAUCCUCAAGUCUCUCCAGACAUCCUAAUCCUAAUGUGACCAGUGGGAAGUCUACAAUGAAGGAAAUCCCAAUGGCAGUGAAGCAGGGUAAAGGCAGGAAGUCCAGUGAAUGUCUUGAAAAGCAAGAUUUUGCCAGUUUUAGCACAUGCUUCUCACAUUUUUGAUGACUGUACCAUUCAUGUGUCAGAAAUAACCACAAGGAAUAAAAAAAGGAAAACCAUAAUCAACAGCAAGAGAUGAAAAAUACUAAUAUCAGCAAGAGUACAAGCUCAGCAGAAGGGGAAUUUUCUACCUUGUAAAUAUGCAGCUAACGUAUUAAUCACAAGGCUACAUAGCCCUUGGCCAGGAUCCAAGGAUGAAACAUGCAUUACUUUUGCCAACAGGGGACUCUUCACCUCCUCCAGCCAUGUAUGCUACAAAAAGAUGCUGAGAAUGGUUCUAAGAAUAGUAAAAGCAACAUAGAUAUAAUAGAUUUAGCAUAUAAAUACGAACAUCCAUAGCACAUAUCAAGCCUUAACAAUAUAUAUCAUGGUUUACUUUCAAAAAUGAUUAAAGUAUUUAAUUAUGUGCAGAGCAUGCUUUCAAAAACCCAGGAUUAUUAAGUAUUGGGAGCAUGGUGAUCUAUUUUGCACACAGGCAAAAAAAGAUGUGAAAAAUUUCAAAUAACACCAUAGCUUGCAGGGGAGUUUGAAUUUGCUUUGGCUGCACACAGUUUAAACAUGAUGCUGGAAGGUCAGGCAGUGCUCUUCUAAAUAAAUCUAUCAGAAUAAAUGGAAUUGCUUUGGAUUUGCUCUGAAUUCAGUUAAAACAGGAUCUGUUCUAUGAAGUUCAUUGUGGUCAGUAAUGCAAGCUAAAAUGAAACUCCAGGAAGUUCUUUGCAUUUUCUUCUAUUUUAUUAUGAAAUUAUGAAAGA
Long non-coding RNA from Passer domesticus (house sparrow), 1177 nucleotides. RefSeq lists it as uncharacterized. The record is from RefSeq and is a predicted model, not a curated record. NCBI's taxonomy places the organism in Eukaryota, Metazoa, Chordata, Aves, Passeriformes, Passeridae. The transcript has 5 exons.